AUCAAUAAGCGGAGGAAAAGAAAAUAACAAUGAUUCCUUUAGUAACGGCGAGUGAACAGGGAAAAGCUCACAGUUGGAACCUGUCUGACCUAGUCAGUCCGGAUUGUAAACUGAAAAAGUGUUUUCCAGACCAGCCGAGUAAAAAAGUUCCUUGGAAUAGGACAUCAUGGAGGGUGAGAAUCCCGUCUUUGGCUUGAGCAUGGUCUUUUGUGUUGCGCUUUAAAGAGUCAGGUUGUUUGGGAAUGCAGCCUAAAGUGGGAGGUAAAUCCCUCCUAAAGCUAAAUAUUGGCGGAAGACCGAUAGCAAACAAGUACCGUGAGGGAAAGAUGAAAAGAACUUUGAAAAGAGAGUUAAACAGUAUGUGAAAUUGCUAAAAGGGAAGCGUUUGGAGACAGACUGGUUGGUCUGAAAUCAGCCUGGACUUUGGUCUUGGUGUACUUUCGGACUAUGCCUGCCAACAGCAGUUUGGUUUGACUGAAAAAACUAGUAGUAAGGUGGCUCCUCCGGGAGUGUUAUAGACUAUUAGAAAAUCAGUUGGACUAGACUGAGGAAUGCAAUACGGCUUGCCUGAUGGCCAUGAAGGGUGGAUUCGGACCUUUGUCUGAUGAAGUUUUUCAAGGGUUGUUAGAACUGUAUUUAGGUUGUUGGCUUAAUGUCUCUAAACGGC
Molecule: ribosomal RNA, 667 nt
Filed under: Thamnostylum piriforme
Lineage: Eukaryota; Fungi; Mucoromycota; Mucoromycetes; Mucorales; Lichtheimiaceae
Description: eukaryotic LSU rRNA
Rfam family: Eukaryotic large subunit ribosomal RNA
Source: RNAcentral